This 781-nucleotide ribosomal RNA is filed under the name uncultured bacterium. Its description in RNAcentral is "bacterial SSU rRNA". It matches the Rfam family "Bacterial small subunit ribosomal RNA", at positions 28 to 809 of the family's 1533-position model. The record is from RNAcentral.
GAUGAACGCUGGCGGCGUGCUUAACACAUGCAAGUCGAACGAAGCAAUUUAGCGGAAGUUUUCGGAUGGAAGUUGGAUUGACUGAGUGGCGGACGGGUGAGUAACGCGUGGGUAACCUGCCUCACACUGGGGGACAACAGUUAGAAAUGACUGCUAAUACCGCAUAAGCGCACAGGACCGCAUGGUCUAGUGUGAAAAACUCCGGUGGUGUGAGAUGGACCCGCGUUUGAUUAGCUAGUUGGUGGGGUAACGGCCUACCAAGGCGACGAUCAAUAGCCGACCUGAGAGGGUGACCGGCCACAUUGGGACUGAGACACGGCCCAAACUCCUACGGGAGGCAGCAGUGGGGAAUAUUGCACAAUGGGGGAAACCCUGAUGCAGCGACGCCGCGUGAGUGAAGAAGUAUUUCGGUAUGUAAAGCUCUAUCAGCAGGGAAGAAAAUGACGGCACCUGACUAAGAAGCCCCGGCUAACUACGUGCCAGCAGCCGCGGUAAUACGUAGGGGGCAAGCGUUAUCCGGAUUUACUGGGUGUAAAGGGAGCGUAGACGGUAAAGCAAGUCUGAAGUGAAAGCCCGGGGCUCAACCCCGGGACUGCUUUGGAAACUGUUUAACUAGAGUGCUGGAGAGGUAAGCGGAAUUCCUAGUGUAGCGGUGAAAUGCGUAGAUAUUAGGAGGAACACCAGUGGCGAAGGCGGCUUACUGGACAGUAACUGACGUUGAGGCUCGAAAGCGUGGGGAGCAAACAGGAUUAGAUACCCUGGUAGUCCACGCCGUAAACGA